GACGAACGCUGGCGGCGUGCUUAACACAUGCACGUCGAACGGAAAGGCCCUGCUUUUGUGGGGUGCUCGAGUGGCGAACGGGUGAGUAACACGUGAGUAACCUGCCCUUGACUUUGGGAUAACUUCAGGAAACUGGGGCUAAUACCGGAUAGGAGCUCCUGCUGCAUGGUGGGGGUUGGAAAGUUUCGGCGGUUGGGGAUGGACUCGCGGCUUAUCAGCUUGUUGGUGGGGUAGAGGCUUACCAAGGCUUUGACGGGUAGCCGGCCUGAGAGGGUGACCGGCCACAUUGGGACUGAGAUACGGCCCAGACUCCUACGGGAGGCAGCAGUGGGGAAUAUUGCACAAUGGGCGGAAGCCUGAUGCAGCAACGCCGCGUGCGGGAUGACGGCCUUCGGGUUGUAAACCGCUUUCGCCUGUGACGAAGCGUGAGUGACGGUAAUGGGUAAAGAAGCACCGGCUAACUACGUG
RNAcentral lists this ribosomal RNA (468 nucleotides) under uncultured bacterium. Its description in RNAcentral is "partial 16S ribosomal RNA". It matches the Rfam family "Bacterial small subunit ribosomal RNA", at positions 28 to 507 of the family's 1533-position model. The record is from RNAcentral.